This 526-nucleotide long non-coding RNA is filed under the name Sinocyclocheilus anshuiensis. RNAcentral describes it as "lncRNA (ENSSANG00000026602.1)". Lineage: Eukaryota; Metazoa; Chordata; Actinopteri; Cypriniformes; Cyprinidae. The record is from RNAcentral.
ACCAUAUCUUUUUGUGUGUUUAAUUUUUCAGGAGAUUGUCUGAUAUCCAUUAUCCUUAUUGAUUUAUUUUUUCGUCUUGCAAUGACAACUGACCAAACAGUUCUAUUAAGAACUACUCUUCUUUCUCUGCCUUCUGCCUUCUUUCCCUUAUUUCUGUAUUCACCUUUUGUGUACCUGACUAUCGGUUAUGACAGGUAAGCCAUUUCAUUUCCAAAAUCUUACGAACUUAAUUUGAACAGAACAUGCAAAAACUUAUUCAUGGGAAAAUGAAUGAGUUUGUUUUGCUAUUUUGAGGUAUGUUGUUUUCUCUAAUACAAUGCAUGUGCAGGUGUACCACUUGCUUUUGGAGUAGAUGACAUCUAUUCUGGGACAGGCAGUUGUCCUACACUGGACAGCUGGGGUGAUGUCAAAUCCUGAACACUUUCAGGCAAAGCAUUUAAAGCAUGCCAUAUAUUUUGAGGAUAAUGGCAUCCAAAAAUAUUGCUUUCCUUGCUUUUGUUUGAGUUCCCGACAAAGGAAGAGGUGA